AGCUUUUUGAAUCCGUACAAAGAUUUCGUCAUACCAACCCAUUAAGGCUGAUCAGGCUUCCAAGAUAAGUGAAGUU
Molecule: microRNA precursor, 76 nt
Filed under: Schistosoma haematobium
Lineage: Eukaryota; Metazoa; Platyhelminthes; Trematoda; Strigeidida; Schistosomatidae
Description: mir-3492 microRNA precursor family
Rfam family: mir-3492 microRNA precursor family
Source: Rfam by way of RNAcentral